This 30-nucleotide non-coding RNA is filed under the name Mus musculus (house mouse). Lineage: Eukaryota; Metazoa; Chordata; Mammalia; Rodentia; Muridae. The record is from RNAcentral.
GAGAUGGACGGAACCUACCUUCAUUGGCGG